Molecule: long non-coding RNA, 1479 nt
Filed under: Pan troglodytes (chimpanzee)
Lineage: Eukaryota; Metazoa; Chordata; Mammalia; Primates; Hominidae
Description: lincRNA
Source: RNAcentral
AUCUCCAAACGAUCCCCACACUUGUCAGUGGAAAAAGUGUCUUCCGUGAAACCAGUCCCUGGUGCCAAAAAGGUUAGGGACUGCCAGUUUAAAUAACCAAAUGCUAAAAGAACUGGCAUAGAGGUAAAUGGGCUGCUGCUUUAUUUUUAGGCUGUUCUUUUUAGAGAACAAUGACAGUUAUUUCCAAGUUUGUCAUUAGAAAAUAAUAUUAGGUUGGAGCAAAAGUAAUUGCAGUUUUUGCCAUUGCUUUCAAUGGUAAAAGGCACAAUUACUUUUGCAGCAACUUAAUAUUAUAAAUUUGUUCCUUAAAGUGUAUUUUUGAUAAGAAAGCCCUUUUGUUUUUCCUUCUGUUAAUUUUUUGUUUUUUUCUUGGUAGAGACAGAGUCUUGCCAUGCUGCCCAGGCUGGAGUGCAGUGAUGUGAUCUCGGCUCACUGCAGCCUCCACCUCCCGGGCUCCAGCAGUCCUCCCACCUCAACCUCCCUAAGAGCUGAGACUACAGUGCACAGCCAGAGAACAACACAUCACACACAAGAAACAGUUGUGCUCAUGUGAUGGGGGCCUCAGCACUAGGAAGGAGUGGACUGUUGGCGCACGCAGCAGCUUGAAUAAAUCUGAAAGUCACUACGCUGCGUAAGAGAAGCCAAAUAAAGCGCAUGCUGUGUACAGAGGGUGUCGAGAAUGUGUCCUACGUGACGGAAAGCAGAUCCGUGGUUCCCUGCAGACUGGCAGGAGCAGAUUCCAAAGGCACAGGAAGAAGCUUGCAGUACAAAGAUAAAAAUCUAAAGUGGUUGCUGUGGAGGACAGGGGUCAGUGGUGGAAGUGAGACCGAAAUAGACUCUGAAGUAAUAUCUGGACUUUGAAAUUCUUGCCUGUUCACUCUGGCUGGUCAUAUGCAGAAAACCGAAACUAGACCCCUUUCUGACACCUUAUAUAAAAAUUAACUCAAGAUGCAUUAAAGAUUUAAACGUGAGACCUAAAACCAGAAAAAUCCUAGAAGAAAACCUAGGCAAUACCAUUGAGGACAUAAGCAUGGGCAAAGACUUUCAUGACUAAAACACCAAAAGGAAUGGCAACAAAAGCCAAAAUUGACAAAAGGUUUCCUUAACGACAACAAAAAAGGGAGUAAUCCUACCUACUGUAAGAGUCAUGACUCUUGAUUGCAGCUGACAGAAACUCAUGACAGCCUGGUUUAGAUAAAGGGGGAGAGAAGGACUGGAAGAAUCUUGGAGUUGGGAAUGUCGCACGUAAUUGAAGGAAGAACAAGAAAACUAUAAUUCUUCCCCUGGAGGCUGGAGUUUCCAGGAUGUCAAAAUUACCUCUGCUUGGGUGAGCUAUUUCAAGCAGCUGGGAUACCUGUGUCACUCCUGCUGUCUGCCAGUGACUGCCCAGGUGUCUGCUGGUUCCUCCCCAGGAGUAGGGAGGAACCAGGUGGGCUGGCUGGGAUGGGUGGAUAUUUAAAGACCAGGCCUUGGACGCCG